This 372-nucleotide ribosomal RNA is filed under the name uncultured organism. RNAcentral's name for it is "bacterial SSU rRNA". It matches the Rfam family "Bacterial small subunit ribosomal RNA", at positions 526 to 896 of the family's 1533-position model. The record is from RNAcentral.
CAGAGGGUGCAAGCGUUGUUCGGAAUUACUGGGCGUAAAGCGCGUGUAGGUGGCGAUGUAAGUCGGGUGUGAAAUCCCUCAGCUUAACUGAGGAAGUGCACUCGAUACUGUGUCGCUUGAGUGUUGGAGGGGAUGGCGGAAUUCCCGGUGUAGAGGUGAAAUUCGUAGAUAUCGGGAGGAACACCUGUGGCGAAGGCGGCCAUCUGGACAACUACUGACACUGAGACGCGAAAGCGUGGGUAGCAAACAGGAUUAGAUACCCUGGUAGUCCACGCUGUAAACGAUGAGUGCUAGACGUCAUGGGUAUUGACCCCUGUGGUGUCGAAGUUAACACGUUAAGCACUCCGCCUGGGGAGUACGGUCGCAAGGCUG